UUGCUUCAGCAGUACAUAUGCUAAAAUUGGAACGAUACAGAGAAGAUUAGCAUUGGCCCCUGUGUAAGGAUGACAUGCAAAUUAGUGAAGUGUUCCAUAUUUUA
Molecule: small nuclear RNA, 104 nt
Filed under: Nomascus leucogenys (northern white-cheeked gibbon)
Lineage: Eukaryota; Metazoa; Chordata; Mammalia; Primates; Hylobatidae
Source: RNAcentral